GAAACGGGUGGUAAUGCCGGAUGCUCCGACUCCUCGCAUGGGGUGUCGGGAAAGAUUUCAUCGGUAUGGGAUGGGGUCGCGUCCUAUCAGGUAGUCGGCGGGGUAACGGCCCACCGAGCCUACGACGGGUAGCCGGCCUGAGAGGGCGACCGGCCACAUUGGGACUGAGAUACGGCCCAGACUCCUACGGGAGGCAGCAGUGGGGAAUAUUGCACAAUGGGCGCAAGCCUGAUGCAGCGACGCCGCGUGCGGGAUGACGGCCUUCGGGUUGUAAACCGCUUUUGAUCGGGAGCAAGCCUUCGGGUGAGUGUACCUUUCGAAUAAGCACCGGCUAACUACGUGCCAGCAGCCGCGGUAAUACGUAGGGUGCAAGCGUUAUCCGGAAUUAUUGGGCGUAAAGGGCUCGUAGGCGGUUCGUCGCGUCCGGUGUGAAAGUCCAUCGCUUAACGGUGGAUCUGCGCCGGGUACGGGCGGGCUGGAGUGCGGUAGGGGAGACUGGAAUUCCCGGUGUAACGGUGGAAUGUGUAGAUAUCGG
RNAcentral lists this ribosomal RNA (535 nucleotides) under Bifidobacterium pseudocatenulatum. RNAcentral's name for it is "bacterial SSU rRNA". It matches the Rfam family "Bacterial small subunit ribosomal RNA", at positions 153 to 700 of the family's 1533-position model. Lineage: Bacteria; Bacillati; Actinomycetota; Actinomycetes; Bifidobacteriales; Bifidobacteriaceae. The record is from RNAcentral.